Molecule: ribosomal RNA, 460 nt
Filed under: uncultured bacterium
Lineage: Bacteria
Description: partial 16S ribosomal RNA
Rfam family: Bacterial small subunit ribosomal RNA
Source: RNAcentral
CCUACGGGUGGCAGCAGUGAGGAAUAUUGGUCAAUGGGCGGAAGCCUGAACCAGCCAAGUCGCGUGCGGGAUUAAGGCCCUAUGGGUCGUAAACCUCUUUUGUCAGGGAGCAAUGGCAUCCACGUGUGGGCGUAUGGAGAGUACCUGAAGAAAAAGCAUCGCCUAACUCCGUGCCAGCAGCCGCGGUAAUACGGAGGAUGCGAGCUUUACCCGGUUUUAUUGGGUUUAAGGGGUGCGUAGGCGGUACCUUAGGUCAGCGUGAAAAUUCCGGGUCUCAACUCCGUAGAGCCGUUGAAACUGGGGUUCUUGAGUGAGCGAGAAGUAUGCGGAAUGCGUGGUGUAGCGGUGAAAUGCAUAGAUAUCACGCAGAACCCCGAUUGCGAAGGCAGCAUACCGGCGCUCAACUGACGCUGAGGCACGAAAGUGCGGGUAUCGAACAGGAUUAGAUACCCGGGUAGUC